GUAGGUGAACCUGCGGAAGGAUCAUUAACACGUAUCCAACGUUAAACAACCCCGUGAACCUUCAGCCUGCUCUCGUAGCCCACUCUACCGCUCGAUCGUAACUGUAACUUCUCACAUCGUAACAGAGGUCCCGAAUCAAAACUGUUCGUCAAUGAUUUACCGGGAUUGCUGUUGCCGUGGCAUGGCGUCCCCAAGCAGAAUCCAGAGAAUGAAAGGAUUACUGGCUGCGCAAGGAUAACGCCUCACGGUU
RNAcentral lists this unclassified non-coding RNA (250 nucleotides) under plant metagenome. RNAcentral describes it as "partial contains small subunit ribosomal RNA, internal transcribed spacer 1, and 5.8S ribosomal RNA". The record is from RNAcentral.